RNAcentral lists this ribosomal RNA (415 nucleotides) under Bacillus pumilus. RNAcentral describes it as "bacterial SSU rRNA". It matches the Rfam family "Bacterial small subunit ribosomal RNA", at positions 416 to 823 of the family's 1533-position model. The record is from RNAcentral. Lineage: Bacteria; Bacillati; Bacillota; Bacilli; Caryophanales; Bacillaceae.
UUUCGGAUCGUAAAGCUCUGUUGUUAGGGAAGAACAAGUGCGAGAGUAACUGCUCGCACCUUGACGGUACCUAACCAGAAAGCCACGGCUAACUACGUGCCAGCAGCCGCGGUAAUACGUAGGUGGCAAGCGUUGUCCGGAAUUAUUGGGCGUAAAGGGCUCGCAGGCGGUUUCUUAAGUCUGAUGUGAAAGCCCCCGGCUCAACCGGGGAGGGUCAUUGGAAACUGGGAAACUUGAGUGCAGAAGAGGAGAGUGGAAUUCCACGUGUAGCGGUGAAAUGCGUAGAGAUGUGGAGGAACACCAGUGGCGAAGGCGACUCUCUGGUCUGUAACUGACGCUGAGGAGCGAAAGCGUGGGGAGCGAACAGGAUUAGAUACCCUGGUAGUCCACGCCGUAAACGAUGAGUGCUAAGUGU